CGCGACCCCAGGUCAGGCGGGACUACCC
This 28-nucleotide ribosomal RNA is filed under the name Helictotrichon macrostachyum. Its description in RNAcentral is "Avena macrostachya partial 26S ribosomal RNA". The record is from RNAcentral. Lineage: Eukaryota; Viridiplantae; Streptophyta; Magnoliopsida; Poales; Poaceae.